This 1448-nucleotide ribosomal RNA is filed under the name marine metagenome. RNAcentral's name for it is "bacterial LSU rRNA". It matches the Rfam family "Bacterial large subunit ribosomal RNA", at positions 565 to 2001 of the family's 2925-position model. The record is from RNAcentral.
UACAAGCAGUGGGAGCAGACUUGUUCUGUGACUGCGUACCUUUUGUAUAAUGGGUCAGCGACUUACUUCUCAGUAGCAAGGUUAACCAUUAGGGGAGCCGUAGGGAAACCGAGUCUUAAAUGGGCGAUUAGUUGCUGGGAGUAGACCCGAAACCGGGUGAUCUAUCCAUGGCCAGGGUGAAGGUUAGGUAAAACUAACUGGAGGCCCGAACCCACUUAUGUUGAAAAAUGAGGGGAUGAGCUGUGGAUAGGGGUGAAAGGCCAAACAAACCCGGAGAUAGCUGGUUCUCUCCGAAAUCUAUUUAGGUAGAGCGUCAUGUAUUACUUCUGGGGGUAGAGCACUGUUAUGGCUAGCGGGUCGUCAAGACUUAGUAAACCAUUGCAAACUCCGAAUACCAGAAAGUAUAAGCAUGGCAGACACACUGCGGGUGCUAACGUCCGUAGUGGAAAGGGAAACAACCCAGACCGUCAGCUAAGGUCCCAAAAUUAUAGUUAAGUGGGAAACGAUGUGAAAAGGCCCAGACAGCCAGGAGGUUGGCUUAGAAGCAGCCAUUCCUUUAAAGAGUGCGUAAUAGCUCACUGGUCGAGUCGGUUUGCGCGGAAGAUUUAACGGGGCUAAACUAUAUACCGAAGCUGCGGAUCGCAAUUUAUUGCGAUGGUAGGAGAGCGUUCUGUAAGCCGUUGAAGGUGAACUGAGAGGUUUGCUGGAGGUAUCAGAAGUGCGAAUGCUGACAUGAGUAACGAUAAAGGGGGUGAAAAACCCCCUCGCCAGAAGUCCAAGGUUUCCUACGCAACGUUAAUCGGCGUAGGGUUAGUCGGCCCCUAAGGCGAGGCAGAAAUGCGUAGUCGAUGGGAAACGGGUUAAUAUUCCCGUACUUCAUAUAACUGCGAUGGGAAGACGGAGAAGGUUAGCUCAGCAAGGCGAUGGUUGUCCUUGUUCAAGCGUGUAGAAAUGGUUCUUAGGUAAAUCCGGGAACCUCUAUUUCAAGGCGUGAUAACGAUCCCUCUUUUGGGAGAAGUGAGUGAUACCAUGCUUCCAGGAAAAUCCUCUAAGCUUCAGGUUAUAUGAAACCGUACCCCAAACCGACACAGGUGGACGAGAUGAGAAUUCUAAGGCGCUUGAGAGAACUCGGGUGAAGGAACUAGGCAAAAUGACACCGUAACUUCGGGAGAAGGUGUGCUCUUUGUAUGUGAAAUCACUUGCUGAUAGAGCGGAAGAGAGUUGAAAAUACUAGGUGGCUGCGACUGUUUAUUAAAAACACAGCACUCUGCAAACACGUAAGUGGACGUAUAGGGUGUGACGCCUGCCCGGUGCUUGAAGGUUAAUUGAUGAGGUUAGCGCUUGCGCGAAGCUUUUGAUCGAAGCCCAAGUAAACGGCGGCCGUAACUAUAACGGUCCUAAGGUAGCGAAAUUCCUUGUCGGGUAAGUUCCGACCUGCACGAAUGGCG